AGUGAAUAGAUACCCGGGUAGUCCCAGCCGUAAACGAUGUGCAUUAGGUGUAUCGGUGACCACGAGUCACCGAGGUGCCGAAAGAGAAAUCGUGAAAUGCACCGCCUGGGAAGUACGGUCGCAAGGCUGAAACUUAAAGGAAUUGGCGGGGGAGCACCACAACAGGUGGAGCCUGCGGUUUAAUCGGACUCAACGCCGGGAAACUCACCAGAUAAGACAGCUGAAUGAUAGUCGGGCUGAAGACUCUACUUGACUAGCUGAGAGGAGGUGCAUGGCCGUCGUCAGUUCGUACUGUGAAGCAUCCUGUUAAGUCAGGCAACGAGCGAGACCCACGCCAACAGUUGCUAGCUCGUCCUCCGGGAUGGAGAGGACACUGUUGGGACCGCCUCUGCUAAAGAGGAGGAAGGAAUGGGCAACGGUAGGUCAGCAUGCCCCGAAUUAUCUGGGCUACACGCGGGCUACAAUGGGUGGGACAAUGGGUAUCGACACCGAAAGGUGAAGGCAAUCUCCUAAACCCAUCCUUAGUUCGGAUU
RNAcentral lists this ribosomal RNA (533 nucleotides) under uncultured bacterium. Its description in RNAcentral is "bacterial SSU rRNA". It matches the Rfam family "Archaeal small subunit ribosomal RNA", at positions 725 to 1255 of the family's 1478-position model. The record is from RNAcentral.